RNAcentral lists this signal recognition particle RNA (88 nucleotides) under Polyangiaceae bacterium. RNAcentral describes it as "signal recognition particle sRNA small type". It matches the Rfam family "Bacterial small signal recognition particle RNA". From Rfam's summary of the family: The signal recognition particle (SRP) is a universally conserved ribonucleoprotein involved in the co-translational targeting of proteins to membranes. Archaeal SRP consists of a 7S RNA and homologues of the eukaryotic SRP19 and SRP54 proteins. In most bacteria, the SRP consists of a 4.5S RNA and the Ffh protein (a homologue of the eukaryotic SRP54 protein). The record is from RNAcentral. Lineage: Bacteria; Pseudomonadati; Myxococcota; Polyangiales; Polyangiaceae.
UGCGGCCUCGUCGACAGCGCGCUGUGAACCCCGCCAGGCCCGGAAGGGAGCAACGGUGGCAGAAAGCGGGUGUGACGGGGCCUUCCUG